GAUGAACGCUAGCGGCAGGCUUAACACAUGCAAGUCGAGGGGCAGCGGGGUGUAGCAAUACAUCGCCGGCGACCGGCGCACGGGUGCGUAACACGUAUGGAAUCUGCCCUUUACUGGGGGAUAGCCCGGAGAAAUCCGGAUUAAUACCCCAUAACAAGCGAGGUGGCAUCAUCUUGCUUUGAAAGCUCCGGCGGUAAAGGAUGACCAUGCGCCCGAUUAGCUAGUUGGUGAGGUAAUGGCUCACCAAGGCUACGAUCGGUAGGGGGCCUGAGAGGGUUAUCCCCCACACUGGUACUGAGACACGGACCAGACUCCUACGGGAGGCAGCAGUGAGGAAUAUUGCGCAAUGGAGGCAACUCUGACGCAGCCAUGCCGCGUGCAGGAAGAAGGCGCUACGCGUUGUAAACUGCUUUUAACCGGGAAGAAACCCUCCGACGUGUCGGAGGUUGACGGUACCGGAGGAAUAAGCACCGGCUAACUUCGUGCCAGCAGCCGCGGUAAAGUAG
RNAcentral lists this ribosomal RNA (506 nucleotides) under uncultured bacterium. RNAcentral describes it as "bacterial SSU rRNA". It matches the Rfam family "Bacterial small subunit ribosomal RNA", at positions 28 to 528 of the family's 1533-position model. The record is from RNAcentral.